Molecule: signal recognition particle RNA, 304 nt
Filed under: Saimiri boliviensis boliviensis (Bolivian squirrel monkey)
Lineage: Eukaryota; Metazoa; Chordata; Mammalia; Primates; Cebidae
Description: Metazoan signal recognition particle RNA (ENSSBOG00000004453.1)
Rfam family: Metazoan signal recognition particle RNA
About the family: The signal recognition particle (SRP) is a universally conserved ribonucleoprotein.
Source: RNAcentral
GCUGGGUGAGGUGGCGCGUGCCUGUAGUCCCAGCUACUCGGGAGGCUGAGGUGGGAGGAUCGCUUGAGCCCAGGAGUUCUGGGCUGUAGGGCACUAUGCUGAUUGGGUGUCCACACUAAGUUCAGCAUCAGUAUGGUGACCUUCCUGGAGCAGGGGACCACCAGGUUGCCUAAGGAGGGGUGAACUGACCCAGGUCAGAAACAGCAGGUCAAAACUCCCAUGCUGAUCAGUAGUGGGAUCACGCCUGUGAAUGGGCAGCAUAGCAAGCAACAUAGCCUGGGCAACAUAGCAAGACCCUGUCUCA